CCUANGGGGGGCAGCAGCAAGGGAUAUUGCGCAAUGGACGAAAGUCUGACGCAGCGACGCCGCGUGAGGGAUGAAGGCCUUCGGGUCGUAAACCUCUUUUAUUGGUGAAGAGUAAGGACGGUAACCAAUGAAUAAGCGUCGGCUAACUACGUGCCAGCAGCCGCGGUAAUACGUAGGACGCGAGCGUUAUCCGGAUUUACUGGGCGUAAAGAGCGCGUAGGCGGCUUCUUAAGUUGGCAGUGAAAGAUUCCGGCUUAACUGGGAUAUGCCUGUCAAUACUGGGAGGCUUGAGGGCACCAGAGGAAAGUGGAACUCGCGGUGUAGCGGUGAAAUGUGUAGAUAUCGCGAGGAACACCAGUGGCGAAGGCGGCUUUCUGGGGUGUUCCUGACGCUGAGGCGCGAAAGCGUGGGGAGCGAAGCGGAUUAGAUACCCCGNUANUC
Molecule: ribosomal RNA, 441 nt
Filed under: uncultured bacterium
Lineage: Bacteria
Description: bacterial SSU rRNA
Rfam family: Bacterial small subunit ribosomal RNA
Source: RNAcentral